Molecule: ribosomal RNA, 208 nt
Filed under: uncultured bacterium
Lineage: Bacteria
Description: partial 16S ribosomal RNA
Rfam family: Bacterial small subunit ribosomal RNA
Source: RNAcentral
UCAGACUGCAGGCUGCAACUCGCCUGCACGAAGUCGGAAUUGCUAGUAAUCGUAGGUCAGCAUACUACGGUGAAUACGUUCCCGGGCCUUGUACACACCGCCCGUCAAACCAUGAGAGUUGGCAACACCCGAAGUCGGUAGUCUAACCGCAAGGGGGACGCGGCCGAAGGUGGGUUCGAUAAUUGGGGUGAAGUCGUAACAAGGUACC